UCCCAGACUCCUACGGGAGGCAGCAGUGGGGGAUAUUGCACAAUGGGGGGAACCCUGAUGCAGCGACGCCGCGUGAACGAAGAAAUAUUUCGGUAUGUAAAGUUCUAUCAGCAGGGAAGAAAAGGACAGUACCUGACCAAGAAGCCCCGGCUAACUACGUGCCAGCAGCCGCGGUAAUACGUAGGGGGCGAGCGUUAUCCGGAUUCACUGGGCGUAAAGGGAGCGCAGGCGGCACGGCAAGUCCGGUGUGAAAGCCCGGGGCCCAGCCCCGGGUCUGCACUGGUAACUGCCGGGCUGGGGUGUCGGAGGGGCAGGCGGACUUCCUAGUUUACCGUUGCGAUG
This 342-nucleotide ribosomal RNA is filed under the name uncultured bacterium. Its description in RNAcentral is "bacterial SSU rRNA". It matches the Rfam family "Bacterial small subunit ribosomal RNA", at positions 329 to 688 of the family's 1533-position model. The record is from RNAcentral.